RNAcentral lists this ribosomal RNA (815 nucleotides) under Limosilactobacillus reuteri. Its description in RNAcentral is "bacterial SSU rRNA". It matches the Rfam family "Bacterial small subunit ribosomal RNA", at positions 55 to 826 of the family's 1533-position model. Lineage: Bacteria; Bacillati; Bacillota; Bacilli; Lactobacillales; Lactobacillaceae. The record is from RNAcentral.
AUGCAGUCGUACGCACUGAGCCCAACUGAUUGAUGGUGCUUGCACCUGAUUGACGAUGGAUCACCAGUGAGUGGCGGACGGGUGAGUAACACGUAGGUAACCUGCCCCGGAGCGGGGGAUAACAUUUGGAAACAGAUGCUAAUACCGCAUAACAACAAAAGCCACAUGGCUUUUGUUUGAAAGAUGGCUUUGGCUAUCACUCUGGGAUGGACCUGCGGUGCAUUAGCUAGUUGGUAAGGUAACGGCUUACCAAGGCGAUGAUGCAUAGCCGAGUUGAGAGACUGAUCGGCCACAAUGGAACUGAGACACGGUCCAUACUCCUACGGGAGGCAGCAGUAGGGAAUCUUCCACAAUGGGCGCAAGCCUGAUGGAGCAACACCGCGUGAGUGAAGAAGGGUUUCGGCUCGUAAAGCUCUGUUGUUGGAGAAGAACGUGCGUGAGAGUAACUGUUCACGCAGUGACGGUAUCCAACCAGAAAGUCACGGCUAACUACGUGCCAGCAGCCGCGGUAAUACGUAGGUGGCAAGCGUUAUCCGGAUUUAUUGGGCGUAAAGCGAGCGCAGGCGGUUGCUUAGGUCUGAUGUGAAAGCCUUCGGCUUAACCGAAGAAGUGCAUCGGAAACCGGGCGACUUGAGUGCAGAAGAGGACAGUGGAACUCCAUGUGUAGCGGUGGAAUGCGUAGAUAUAUGGAAGAACACCAGUGGCGAAGGCGGCUGUCUGGUCUGCAACUGACGCUGAGGCUCGAAAGCAUGUGUAGCGAACAGGAUUAGAUACCCUGGUAGUCCAUGCCGUAAACGAUGACUGCUAGGUGUUGG